Molecule: ribosomal RNA, 301 nt
Filed under: uncultured bacterium
Lineage: Bacteria
Description: partial 16S ribosomal RNA
Rfam family: Bacterial small subunit ribosomal RNA
Source: RNAcentral
CAGUAGCCACGGUAAUACGAAGGGUGCAAGCGUUACUCGGAAUUACUGGGCGUAAAGCGUGCGUAGGUGGUGGUUUAAGUCCGUUGUGAAAGCCCUGGGCUCAACCUGGGAAUUGCAGUGGAUACUGGGUCACUAGAGUGUGGUAGAGGAUAGUGGAAUUUCCGGUGUAGCGGUGAAAUGCGUAGAGAUAUGGAGGAAUACCGAUGGCGAAGGCAGCCAUCUGGCCUAACACUGACGCUGAGGUACGAAAGCAUGGGGAGCAAACAGGAUUAGAUACCCCAGUAGUCCCUGUCUCUUAUAC